UACGAAGGGGGGCUAGCGUUGUUCGGAUUUACUGGGCGUAAAGCGCACGUAGGCGGAUCGUUAAGUCGGGGGUGAAAUCCUGGAGCUCAACUCCAGAACUGCCUUCGAUACUGGCGAUCUCGAGUCCGGAAGAGGUGAGUGGAACUCCUAGUGUAGAGGUGGAAUUCGUAGAUAUUAGGAAGAACACCCGUGGCGAAGGCGGCUCUCUGGGACGGUACUGGACGCUGAGACGCGAAAGCGUGGGGAGCGAACAGG
Molecule: ribosomal RNA, 255 nt
Filed under: uncultured bacterium
Lineage: Bacteria
Description: partial 16S ribosomal RNA
Rfam family: Bacterial small subunit ribosomal RNA
Source: RNAcentral